This 468-nucleotide ribosomal RNA is filed under the name Escherichia coli. RNAcentral's name for it is "bacterial SSU rRNA". It matches the Rfam family "Bacterial small subunit ribosomal RNA", at positions 1 to 465 of the family's 1533-position model. Lineage: Bacteria; Pseudomonadati; Pseudomonadota; Gammaproteobacteria; Enterobacterales; Enterobacteriaceae. The record is from RNAcentral.
AAAUUGAAGAGUUUGAUCAUGGCUCAGAUUGAACGCUGGCGGCAGGCCUAACACAUGCAAGUCGAACGGUAACAGAAAGCAGCUUGCUGCUUUGCUGACGAGUGGCGGACGGGUGAGUAAUGUCUGGGAAACUGCCUGAUGGAGGGGGAUAACUACUGGAAACGGUAGCUAAUACCGCAUAACGUCGCAAGACCAAAGAGGGGGACCUUCGGGCCUCUUGCCAUCGGAUGUGCCCAGAUGGGAUUAGCUUGUUGGUGGGGUAACGGCUCACCAAGGCGACGAUCCCUAGCUGGUCUGAGAGGAUGACCAGCCACACUGGAACUGAGACACGGUCCAGACUCCUACGGGAGGCAGCAGUGGGGAAUAUUGCACAAUGGGCGCAAGCCUGAUGCAGCCAUGCCGCGUGUAUGAAGAAGGCCUUCGGGUUGUAAAGUACUUUCAGCGGGGAGGAAGGGAGUAAAGUUAAUA